RNAcentral lists this ribosomal RNA (368 nucleotides) under uncultured organism. RNAcentral describes it as "bacterial SSU rRNA". It matches the Rfam family "Bacterial small subunit ribosomal RNA", at positions 526 to 896 of the family's 1533-position model. The record is from RNAcentral.
CGAAGGUGGCAAGCGUUGUUCGGAUUUACUGGGCGUACAGGGAGCGUAGGCGGUUGGAUAAGCCCUCCGUGAAAUCUCCAGGCUUAACCUGGAAAGUGCAGAGGGGACUGUUCAGCUAGAGGAUGGGAGAGGAGCGCGGAAUUCCCGGUGUAGCGGUGAAAUGCGUAGAGAUCGGGAGGAAGGCCGGUGGCGAAGGCGGCGCUCUGGAACAUUUCUGACGCUGAGGCUCGGAAGCGUGGGGAGCAAACAGGAUUAGAUACCCUGGUAGUCCACGCCUUAAACGAUGGAUACUAAGUGUCGGCGGGUUACCGCCGGUGCCGCAGCUAACGCAGUAAGUAUCCCGCCUGGGAAGUACGGCCGCAAGGUUG